GUUUGAUGUUCUAACGUUGACCCGUAAUCCGGGUUGCGGACAGUGUCUGGUGGGUAGUUUGACUGGGGCGGUCUCCUCCUAAAGAGUAACGGAGGAGCACGAAGGUUGGCUAAUCCUGGUCGGACAUCAGGAGGUUAGUGCAAUGGCAUAAGCCAGCUUGACUGCGAGCGUGACGGCGCGAGCAGGUGCGAAAGCAGGUCAUAGUGAUCCGGUGGUUCUGAAUGGAAGGGCCAUCGCUCAACGGAUAAAAGGUACUCCGGGGAUAACAGGCUGAUACCGCCCAAGAGUUCAUAUCGACGGCGGUGUUUGGCACCUCGAUGUCGGCUCAUCACAUCCUGGGGCUGAAGUAGGUCCCAAGGGUAUGGCUGUUCGCCAUUUAAAGUGGUACGCGAGCUGGGUUUAGAACGUCGUGAGACAGUUCGGUCCCUAUCUGCCGUGGGCGCUGGAGAACUGAGGGGGGCUGCUCCUAGUACGAGAGGACCGGAGUGGACGCAUCACUGGUGUUCGGGUUGUCAUGCCAAUGGCACUGCCCGGUAGCUAAAUGCGGAAGAGAUAAGUGCUGAAAGCAUCUAAGCACGAAACUUGCCCCGAGAUGAGUUCUCCCUGACUCCUUGAGAGUCCUGAAGGAACGUUGAAGACGACGACGUUGAUAGGCCGGGUGUGUAAGCGCAGCGAUGCGUUGAGCUAACCGGUACUAAUGAACCGUGAGG
This 710-nucleotide ribosomal RNA is filed under the name Escherichia coli. Its description in RNAcentral is "partial 23S ribosomal RNA". It matches the Rfam family "Bacterial large subunit ribosomal RNA", at positions 2212 to 2916 of the family's 2925-position model. The record is from RNAcentral. Lineage: Bacteria; Pseudomonadati; Pseudomonadota; Gammaproteobacteria; Enterobacterales; Enterobacteriaceae.